CCUACGGGUGGCUGCAGUGAGGAAUAUUGGUCAAUGGGCGGAAGCCUGAACCAGCCAAGUAGCGUGCAGGAUGACGGCCCUACGGGUUGUAAACUGCUUUUAUACGGGAAUAACGCGCCUUACGUGUAGGGCUUUGCAUGUACCGUAUGAAUAAGGACCGGCUAAUUCCGUGCCAGCAGCCGCGGUUAUACGGAAGGUCCGGGCGUUAUCCGGAUUUAUUGGGUUUAAAGGGAGCGUAGGCCGCAUGUCAAGCGUGAUGUGAAAUGUCCGGGCUCAACCCGGGCCUUGCAGCGAGAACUGGCGUGAUUGAGUGCGCGGAAAGCAGGCGGAAUU
This 333-nucleotide ribosomal RNA is filed under the name uncultured bacterium. Its description in RNAcentral is "partial 16S ribosomal RNA". It matches the Rfam family "Bacterial small subunit ribosomal RNA", at positions 338 to 668 of the family's 1533-position model. The record is from RNAcentral.